This 887-nucleotide long non-coding RNA is filed under the name Felis catus (domestic cat). RNAcentral describes it as "lncRNA (ENSFCAG00000050430.1)". Lineage: Eukaryota; Metazoa; Chordata; Mammalia; Carnivora; Felidae. The record is from RNAcentral.
GUCUAUUCUUUUUUCCUUUCUAGAGAGGAACUUAUUAGAGAAAUGUUCUCCAUACAGCAGAAUAAUUUCUCCCAGACUCUAUGCAUAAUAUUUUAACCUCUAGUCUUCAUGUAAUGUAUUUCCUAGAUAUGAUUUCAGUUCCCUAGCCUACUACCCACCAUCCCUCAGGCCUUCACUGCCACCCCUGCACACUCAUAUCCACAGACAUGAAUCUGCCCCAACAUUAAGGAUCGAAAACAAGAGGAGAGAGGAGGCUACAGACUGUAUGUCUCAAUACAUACUUAUAAAUUAAACUAACAAUUAUGAAAUAAGUGUAUUCUAUCCUCCUACUUUCAUAGCAGCCUGGAAGUCCACAUUCAAAUUUGCGAUUUUUGGACAUUUUGGAAUUGACUGUGGAAGUGUGGGGAGUACCCCCCUCUACAUUGUAUCCUAGUCCAUGUUCUUGCUACUUCCAGCUCUGUAGUAAAUGUGAAAGGCCCUACAUACAUACACUAAACUGUUUUCCCAUGAAAUGUAGAAGAGGACAAGAGAAGAGAUUGAAAAGUAAGCAGGGAUGAUGAGAACCCAGUCCCAAGGAAAGCUGAGGUUUGGUAUUGCCAAUAGAGAAAAGUCACAUAUCAUGGAGAAAGCUGUGAAGGUAACUUCCAAGGCCAUUCAGGACCUGCUGGUAAUCCCAGCUGUCAGGCAGGCAGCUGCUGAGGAACACUAUAUCUGAUGGCUCAUCACUUCUGAGAGACACAAGGGUAAAAGCACCAGACAGUUUAAAAGAGCUGUGGUAUAUUCUCCAGGCACCAAAAGGAUUUAUUACAUGCAAAUUUCCAUUAGUGCUAAUGGAGUUAUUAUAGGUGAUUCAUACUUUAAAGAUAAUAAACAAAAACUUGGUUUCA